AGGACGAACGCUGGCGGCGUGCUUAACACAUGCAAGUCGAACGGAAAGGCCCGCUUGCGGGUACUCGAGUGGCGAACGGGUGAGUAACACGUGGGCAACCUGCCCUCAGCUUCGGGAUAACUCUCGGAAACGGGUGCUAAUACCGAAUAUUGACAUUUCCUCGCAUGGGGUUGUGUUGAAAGUUUUUCGGCUGGGGAUGGGCCCGCGGCCUAUCAGCUUGUUGGUGGGGUGAUGGCCUACCAAGGCGACGACGGGUAGCCGGCCUGAGAGGGCGAUCGGCCACACUGGAACUGAGACACGGUCCAGACUCCUACGGGAGGCAGCAGUGGGGAAUAUUGCGCAAUGGGCGGAAGCCUGACGCAGCGACGCCGCGUGAGGGAUGAAGGUCUUCGGAUUGUAAACCUCUUUCAGUAGGGACGAAUUUAGACGGUACCUGCAGAAGAAGCACCGGCCAACUACGCGCCAGCAGCCGC
RNAcentral lists this ribosomal RNA (473 nucleotides) under uncultured bacterium. Its description in RNAcentral is "SSU rRNA". It matches the Rfam family "Bacterial small subunit ribosomal RNA", at positions 26 to 518 of the family's 1533-position model. The record is from RNAcentral.